Molecule: ribosomal RNA, 117 nt
Filed under: Caltoris bromus yanuca
Lineage: Eukaryota; Metazoa; Arthropoda; Insecta; Lepidoptera; Hesperiidae
Description: partial 16S ribosomal RNA
Source: RNAcentral
AAGAUUUUAAUGAUCGAACAGAUCAAAAAUUUUAAACUUCUACAUUUAAAUUUUAUCUUAAUCCAACAUCGAGGUCGCAAACUUUUUUUUUUAUUUGAACUAAAAAAAAAAAUUACG